CGCGUAAGAAUCUACCUUUAGGAAAGGAUAACAACUGGAAACGGUUGCUAAUACUUUAUAUGCUGAGAAGUUAAAUAGGUUACUGCCUAAAGAUGAGCUUGCGUCUGAUUAGCUAGUUGGUAAGGUAAAGCUUACCAAGGCAAUUAUCAGUAGUUGGUCUGAGAGGAUGAUCAGCCACACUGGGACUGAGACACGGCCCAGACUCCUACGGGAGGCAGCAGUGAGGAAUCUUCCACAAUGGACGAAAGUCUGAUGGAGCGACACCGCGUGAAGGAUGAAGGCCUAACGGUUGUAAACUUC
RNAcentral lists this ribosomal RNA (300 nucleotides) under uncultured cyanobacterium. RNAcentral describes it as "bacterial SSU rRNA". It matches the Rfam family "Bacterial small subunit ribosomal RNA", at positions 114 to 433 of the family's 1533-position model. The record is from RNAcentral. Lineage: Bacteria; Bacillati; Cyanobacteriota.